RNAcentral lists this ribosomal RNA (823 nucleotides) under uncultured fungus. Its description in RNAcentral is "eukaryotic LSU rRNA". The stretch from base 335 to 488 matches the Rfam family "5.8S ribosomal RNA". Lineage: Eukaryota; Fungi. The record is from RNAcentral.
UUUGUUUCUAACCUAUUGUUGAUUGUAUAUAGAUUAUAUAUGGGGAGUGCUAUUGGCCGCCUUUCGGAUUUCGACUGGACUUUCCUAAUCGAUCGUUGCUUCGUUAUUGUCUGUACGCCAUAACCUAUAUAGUCGUUCUAGGUCCGCCCUGGAGUGUGCACCAACAAAUAGAUGAUGUAAUUAUGACUGCUUAUUCAGCCUGUAGCAUAGCUUGCAGCUCAUAGUGAAAUAAUUAACCCCUUUUCUAUUAUUUACUGAUUUGUAUGUUUAUAUGAAUUCCUUAUCUUCGGAUAGGUUGAGUUUAUAUAGAUGUCGUAUAUUACUAAUACGAAACAACUCUUAGCAACGGAUAUCUUGGUUCUCGUAACGAUGAAGAGCGCAGCGAAAUGCGAUACGUAAUGCGAAUUGCAGAAUUCAGUGAAUCAUCAAAUUCUUGAACGGAACUGGCGCCUUCAGGUCUACCUGGAGGCACGUUUCUCUCAGUGUCGGUUAUACUCUCUCCAUCAACUAAGUUUACUUAGUCUGUGUGGGAAUAUGAGCAUUAUGAUGUUAAAGUUAUAUCGCUUGAAAUCGAAUGAGUUAGUUUCUCAUAGUUGGUAUUAUCUCUUCGGGGGUUUAUACCGCUGUUAACAACUUAGUGAUGUGGGUAAAUCAUUUUCGGAUGAUACUUUACAUCUAUACUAUAUUGUCUAUGGUUUACUAUGUGGAAUAUUAACGAAAAAUAGUAAUAGGGAUUAGACUUCGGUUUAAUACUUAUUCUCAUAUUUUGACCUGAGAUGAAGCGAGGCUACCCGCGGAAUUUAAGCAUAUUAUUACGCGGAGG